UGGGGAAUUUUGGACAAUGGGCGAAAGCCUGAUCCAGCAAUGCCGCGUGUGUGAAGAAGGCCUUCGGGUUGUAAAGCACUUUUGUCCGGAAAGAAAUCCUUGGCUCUAAUACAGUCGGGGGAUGACGGUACCGGAAGAAUAAGCACCGGCUAAUUACGUGCCAGCAGCCGCGGUAAUACGUAGGGUGCAAGCGUUAAUCGGAAUUACUGGGCGUAAAGCGUGCGCAGGCGGUUUGCUAAGACCGAUGUGAAAUCCCCGGGCUCAACCUGGGAACUGCAUUGGUGACUGGCAGGCUAGAGUAUGGCAGAGGGGGGUAGAAUUCCACGUGUAGCAGUGAAAUGCGUAGAGAUGUGGAGGAAUACCGAUGGCGAAGGUAGCCCCCUGGGCCAAUACUGACGCUCAUGCACGAAAGCGUGGGGGAGCAAACAGGAUUAGAUACCCUGGUAGUCCACGCCCUAAACGAUGUCAACUAGUUGUUGGGGAUUCAUUUCCUUAGUAACGUAGCUAACGCGUGAAGUUGACCGCCUGGGGAGUACGGUCGCAAGAUUAAAACUCAAAUGAAUUGACGGGGUCAUAGCUGUUUCCU
RNAcentral lists this ribosomal RNA (586 nucleotides) under uncultured bacterium. Its description in RNAcentral is "partial 16S ribosomal RNA". It matches the Rfam family "Bacterial small subunit ribosomal RNA", at positions 355 to 1375 of the family's 1533-position model. The record is from RNAcentral.